Jaculus jaculus (lesser Egyptian jerboa) is the source of this 337-nucleotide long non-coding RNA. RefSeq lists it as uncharacterized. The transcript has 3 exons. NCBI's taxonomy places the organism in Eukaryota, Metazoa, Chordata, Mammalia, Rodentia, Dipodidae. The record is from RefSeq and is a predicted model, not a curated record.
GAACGGACAGUUGCAGCAGCUGCGGGAGCUCAGAGCCCAAGGCUUAACCCGGCUCAGUUCCGAGGUGGCUUCCAGAGGACUGGGGACAGCCACCAGCCAUCACUCAGCGUGCAAGUAUUUCCACGUCUGAGAGCGAUACCAAGAAUUUCAGCGCGCAGCACUCGGAGUGUAAAUUGCUUUGUAGUAUUUGAAAGCUGAGUGGAUCCUGGGCAGCGAGCUGGCCCUCCAAAUGGAAUCUCUACACAUGGGUGUCUUUCCUUGGCUUUGUACUUCCUCAAUAAAUACAAUAAUUUAAGCUGAUUUUCGGGAGGAAUGUGGAGGUAUUUGAAACUUUGGC